This 298-nucleotide unclassified non-coding RNA is filed under the name Hevea brasiliensis (rubber tree). The record is from RNAcentral. Lineage: Eukaryota; Viridiplantae; Streptophyta; Magnoliopsida; Malpighiales; Euphorbiaceae.
UCCUGUAAUACAUCUUUUUGUUCAGUGCCAUCCUCUACCUUUUCAGCGGGAAUUAGUCUAUCGCACGGGAAACACCAUCGCAAUUGAGGAUUUUCAAAUUGUACAGCCAAGUGGUGGUGGUACUGUCUUGCAUGCCGAACUGCAUGGCUCUGAGGAGUAGUAGGAAAUCCAGCACCUCCGCACGAAAAAUGACCACAUUCUAAACAGACCCAAAUGGCUUUAGACGCCGACUUUGAUUCUCCACCUCCCUUCUUUUUUCCAUGUUUACCUUUUCCUUUAGCAGCCCGUCGAUUAGCUG